AGUCGAUUCUGAUUCGCGGCGUGAUUUAAAUUAUUCUCCUGACCUACGUAGUUGGUAUAUGUAAAUCUCGGGAAUCCGCUGAUCAGCUCUUCAGAUCUUCUCGUUCAACUCGCCUACAAUUCUGAGAGUUUGUUAGUUCUCAAUGGGUUUCGGUAGAGUUCUGAUCUGUUCUCUAUGAUGUCUGAAGUUCUUCUCUUCUAUUCUGUUUUCUGGAAAGGUUGGAUUAGAGGGAAAGUAGGAGGGGUUCAAAAGGAGUCGCGGUUUCUCGCGGGUCUCGGAUGAUUGGUUAAGGAUGAUGGAAU
Long non-coding RNA from Neodiprion virginianus, 302 nucleotides. RefSeq lists it as uncharacterized. The record is from RefSeq and is a predicted model, not a curated record. The transcript is spliced from 3 exons. NCBI's taxonomy places the organism in Eukaryota, Metazoa, Arthropoda, Insecta, Hymenoptera, Diprionidae.